Molecule: unclassified non-coding RNA, 338 nt
Filed under: soil metagenome
Description: partial contains 5.8S ribosomal RNA, internal transcribed spacer 2, and large subunit ribosomal RNA
Rfam family: 5.8S ribosomal RNA (bases 1-120)
Source: RNAcentral
GAUGAAGAACGUAGCGAAAUGCGAUAAGUAAUGUGAAUUGCAGAAUUCAGUGAAUCAUCGAAUCUUUGAACGCACAUUGCGCCCGCCAGCGUUCUGGCGGGCAUGCCUGUUCGAGCGUCAUUUCAACCCUCAAGCUCUGCUUGGUGUUGGGGCCCUACGGUUGACGUAGGCCCUUAAAGGUAGUGGCGGACCCUCUCGGAGCCUCCUUUGCGUAGUAACUAACGUCUCGCAUUGGGAUUCGGAGGGACUCUUGCCGUAAAACCCCCAAAUUUUCUAAUGGUUGACCUCGGAUCAGGUAGGAAUACCCGCUGAACUUAAGCAUAUCAAUAAGCGGAGGA